This 675-nucleotide long non-coding RNA is filed under the name Equus caballus (horse). RNAcentral's name for it is "lncRNA (ENSECAG00000034677.3)". The record is from RNAcentral. Lineage: Eukaryota; Metazoa; Chordata; Mammalia; Perissodactyla; Equidae.
CCUGCCUCUAGGCUUGCGGAACCAACUGCUGGGAGGCAGCUGGGUUUGCAGAGAGGCCGGUGGUCAGCAGCACCUGUGAGGCUAUCAGUCCCUUCUUGGAACGGUUCUUCAAAAUUUACAGUAUGGAAAGCCCAGCGGUGAUGUUCAAGCCUCUACUGAGAAAACAGCAAGGGCUUUGGAUCAGGACAGACCUGAUGUCCUUGACUUUUGCGUAUGUCCUCUUUGCGUUUUGGAAUCCCAUUCUGGAUACCGCAUCACAUUUAGUCAUCGCAUCUCAUCUCGGCUGUGGCAGAUCCUCUCUUAGGGAGCAAUGCAUAGAGUCUGGGCAUCCCCCAGAGGAAGAAAAUAGAUUCCAGACCUGCUGCUAAUCCUCUCCUUCCCAACUUCCUAAGCCAUUCUUCUCAGUGACAAUUCGAGUGCUACUGCUUGGUGUCACAUCAUUAUAAUCAUGUGAACAAGACCUCAUGAUGCUAUAGUUGCUGCUGGCAGCCAUCUUGUGACCAAAACAAGAAGGGCUUUUAGGAUAAAGGAAACACUCUAGACAGCAGAGGAGAAAGACAAAAACAUCUGUAUCCCUGAUGUCAUAGCUUGAGCCAUGGAAUCAAAUCACCCUGCAGUUGGCUGUUGUACUUCUUGCUAUGUGAAAUAAUACAGUUCCUUAUUGUUUAAGCCUGA